GAGUUUCUCACAGCAGAGAAGAAGAAAGACAGAGAUCAUCUUCCUCUCAUCAUCAUCAUCUUCCUCUUCAUCAUCAUGAAGACUCUUGGCUUCACCUGGGACUGCUGCUGCUCACUGUCUGCUGGUGCAACGCCGGGCCCCAAGAGGAAGAAGAAGAAGAAGUGCACCCUGCCUUCCCCCGAAACUCUGCUGCUUCAUCUUUUUCCA
This is a long non-coding RNA of Platichthys flesus (European flounder), 207 nucleotides long. RefSeq lists it as uncharacterized. The record is from RefSeq and is a predicted model, not a curated record. Lineage: Eukaryota; Metazoa; Chordata; Actinopteri; Pleuronectiformes; Pleuronectidae. The transcript has 2 exons.